UAUCCGGAAUUAUUGGGCGUAAAGGGCUCGUAGGCGGUUCGUCGCGUCCGGUGUGAAAGUCCAUCGCUUAACGGUGGAUCCGCGCCGGGUACGGGCGGGCUUGAGUGCGGUAGGGGAGACUGGAAUUCCCGGUGUAACGGUGGAAUGUGUAGAUAUCGGGAAGAACACCAAUGGCGAAGGCAGGUCUCUGGGCCGUUACUGACGCUGAGGAGCGAAAGCGUGGGGAGCGAACAGGAUUAGAUACCCUGGUAGUCCACGCCGUAAACGGUGGAUGCUGGAUGUGGGGCCCGUUCCACGGGUUCCGUGUCGGAGCUAACGCGUUAAGCAUCCCGCCUGGGGAGUACGGCCGCAAGCUAAAACUCAAAGAAAUUGACGGGGGCCCGCACAAGCGGCAGAACAUGCGGAUUAAUUCGAUGCAACGCAAGAACCUUACCUGGGCUUGACAUGUUCCC
RNAcentral lists this ribosomal RNA (452 nucleotides) under uncultured bacterium. Its description in RNAcentral is "bacterial SSU rRNA". It matches the Rfam family "Bacterial small subunit ribosomal RNA", at positions 542 to 993 of the family's 1533-position model. The record is from RNAcentral.